GGGUGGAGCAGUUCGGUAGCUCGUCGGGCUCAUAACCCGAAGGUCGCAGGUUCAAAUCCUGCCCCCGCAACCA
Molecule: transfer RNA, 73 nt
Filed under: Bacillus licheniformis
Lineage: Bacteria; Bacillati; Bacillota; Bacilli; Caryophanales; Bacillaceae
Description: tRNA-Met
Rfam family: tRNA
About the family: Transfer RNA (tRNA) molecules are approximately 80 nucleotides in length. Their secondary structure includes four short double-helical elements and three loops (D, anti-codon, and T loops).
Source: RNAcentral